This 864-nucleotide ribosomal RNA is filed under the name uncultured bacterium. Its description in RNAcentral is "bacterial SSU rRNA". It matches the Rfam family "Bacterial small subunit ribosomal RNA", at positions 518 to 1378 of the family's 1533-position model. The record is from RNAcentral.
CGGUAAUACGGAGGGUGCAAGCGUUACUCGGAAUCACUGGGCGUAAAGGACGCGUAGGCGGGAUGGUAAGUCAGAUGUGAAAUCCCACAGCUUAACUGUGGAACUGCAUUUGAAACUGCCAACCUAGAGUUUGGGAGAGGCAGAUGGAAUUGGUGGUGUAGGGGUAAAAUCCGUAGAGAUCACCAGGAAUACCGAUGGCGAAGGCGAUCUGCUGGAACAAUACUGACGCUGAGGCGUGAAAGCGUGGGGAGCAAACAGGAUUAGAUACCCUGGUAGUCCACGCCCUAAACGAUGAAUGCUAGUUGUUGGGGUGCUCGUCAUCCCAGUAAUGCAGCUAACGCAAUAAGCAUUCCGCCUGGGGAGUACGGUCGCAAGAUUAAAACUCAAAGGAAUAGACGGGGACCCGCACAAGCGGUGGAGCAUGUGGUUUAAUUCGAAGAUACGCGAAGAACCUUACCUGGACUUGACAUCCUAAGAACCGAUCAGAGAUGAUUGGGUGCUGCUUUUGUAGAGCUUAGUGACAGGUGCUGCACGGCUGUCGUCAGCUCGUGUCGUGAGAUGUUGGGUUAAGUCCCGCAACGAGCGCAACCCUCGUCCUUAGUUGCCAGCACAUCAAGGUGGGCACUCUAAGGAGACUGCCUGGGUAACCAGGAGGAAGGUGAGGACGACGUCAAGUCAUCAUGGCCCUUAUGUCCAGGGCGACACACGUGCUACAAUGGCAUGUACAAUGAGAAGCAAUACCGCGAGGUGGAGCAAAUCUAAAAAACAUGUCCCAGUUCGGAUUGCACUCUGCAACUCGAGUGCAUGAAGUUGGAAUCGCUAGUAAUCGUAGAUCAGCCAUGCUACGGUGAAUACGUUCCCGGG